GUCUUAAUGAAUUUAAUUUUAAGUCGAUCUGCCCAAUGAUAAAAAUUUAAUGGCUGCAGUAUAUUUAACUGUACAAAGGUAGCAUAAUCAAUUGUUUUUUAAUUAAAAACUAGAAUGAAAGAAUUAAUGAGAUAUAUACUGUCUCAUAUAUAUUUAAUGAAUUUAAAUAUUUAGUAAAAAUGCUAAAAUUAUUUUAUGGGACGAUAAGACCCUAUAGAAUUUUAUAUUAAAAGUUUAAUUAAAGAAAAUUAAUUAUAUUUAUUAAUAUUUAAUUGGGAGGAUUAGUAAAUUAUAAAAACUUUAUUUUAAAAUUAAACUUAGAUUAAAGGAUAUUUUAGAUCUUGUAUUAUAAAUUAAAAGAAUAAAUUACCUUAGGGAUAACAGCGUAAUAUCUUUUGAAAGACCAAAUUUAUAAAGAUGGUUGCGACCUCGAUGUUGAAUUAAGAUAAAUUUUAAAUGCAGGAGUUUAAUAAUUAAGUCUGUUCGACUUUUAAAAUCUUACAUGAUUUGAGUUCAAAUCGACGUAAGU
Molecule: ribosomal RNA, 529 nt
Filed under: Bombus suckleyi
Lineage: Eukaryota; Metazoa; Arthropoda; Insecta; Hymenoptera; Apidae
Description: partial 16S ribosomal RNA
Rfam family: Bacterial large subunit ribosomal RNA (bases 377-529)
Source: RNAcentral